GAGUGGACAUUUGCCAUGAUUCUUUAAUCCACGCCACAAGAAUUACGUUCAGCUUCACCCACUCCCAUUGGGCUCUUUAAGGCAUCGGUUAUGUUGUAUCUAGGGUAUCUUAUUGUUUGUAGUUUAUCAAAUAGGUACCAGUUAGUAGUUACUAUGUGCAGAUAACAAUCAUAAGUUUACACCCCAUUGAUAUUUUUGUAGGGAAUUAUAUCUAUGUAGACCCUUAUUUUGUG
This 233-nucleotide unclassified non-coding RNA is filed under the name Hevea brasiliensis (rubber tree). Lineage: Eukaryota; Viridiplantae; Streptophyta; Magnoliopsida; Malpighiales; Euphorbiaceae. The record is from RNAcentral.